Molecule: ribosomal RNA, 253 nt
Filed under: uncultured bacterium
Lineage: Bacteria
Description: partial 16S ribosomal RNA
Rfam family: Bacterial small subunit ribosomal RNA
Source: RNAcentral
UACGGAGGGGGCUAGCGUUGUUCGGAAUUACUGGGCGUAAAGCGCACGUAGGCGGCUUUGUAAGUUAGAGGUGAAAGCCCGGAGCUUAACUCCGGAACUGCCUUUAAGACUGCAUCGCUCGAAUCAUGGAGAGGUUAGUGGAAUUCCGAGUGUAGAGGUGAAAUUCGUAGAUAUUCGGAAGAACACCAGUGGCGAAGGCGACUAACUGGACAUGUAUUGACGCUGAGGUGCGAAAGCGUGGGGAGCAAACAGG